This 2932-nucleotide ribosomal RNA is filed under the name Klebsiella aerogenes. RNAcentral describes it as "23S ribosomal RNA". It matches the Rfam family "Bacterial large subunit ribosomal RNA". The record is from RNAcentral. Lineage: Bacteria; Pseudomonadati; Pseudomonadota; Gammaproteobacteria; Enterobacterales; Enterobacteriaceae.
GGGUUGUGAGGUUAAGCGACUAAGCGUACACGGUGGAUGCCCUGGCAGUCAGAGGCGAUGAAGGACGUGCUAAUCUGCGAAAAGCGUCGGUAAGGUGAUAUGAACCGUUACAGCCGGCGAUGUCCGAAUGGGGAAACCCAGUGCAAUUCGUUGCACUAUCGUUAACUGAAUACAUAGGUUAACGAGGCGAACCGGGGGAACUGAAACAUCUAAGUACCCCGAGGAAAAGAAAUCAACCGAGAUUCCCCCAGUAGCGGCGAGCGAACGGGGAGCAGCCCAGAGUCUGAAUCAGCUUGUGUGUUAGUGGAACGGUCUGGAAAGUCCGACGGUACAGGGUGAUAGUCCCGUACACCAAAAUGCACAGGUUGUGAACUCGAAGAGUAGGGCGGGACACGUGGUAUCCUGUCUGAAUAUGGGGGGACCAUCCUCCAAGGCUAAAUACUCCUGACUGACCGAUAGUGAACCAGUACCGUGAGGGAAAGGCGAAAAGAACCCCGGCGAGGGGAGUGAAAAAGAACCUGAAACCGUGUACGUACAAGCAGUGGGAGCACCUUUAUGGUGUGACUGCGUACCUUUUGUAUAAUGGGUCAGCGACUUAUAUUCUGUAGCAAGGUUAACCGUAUAGGGGAGCCGCAGGGAAACCGAGUCUUAACUGGGCGUUAAGUUGCAGGGUAUAGACCCGAAACCCGGUGAUCUAGCCAUGGGCAGGUUGAAGGUUGGGUAACACUAACUGGAGGACCGAACCGACUAAUGUUGAAAAAUUAGCGGAUGACUUGUGGCUGGGGGUGAAAGGCCAAUCAAACCGGGAGAUAGCUGGUUCUCCCCGAAAGCUAUUUAGGUAGCGCCUCGUGAAUUCAUCUUCGGGGGUAGAGCACUGUUUCGGCUAGGGGGUCAUCCCGACUUACCAACCCGAUGCAAACUACGAAUACCGAAGAAUGUUAUCACGGGAGACACACGGCGGGUGCUAACGUCCGUCGUGAAGAGGGAAACAACCCAGACCGCCAGCUAAGGUCCCAAAGUCACAGUUAAGUGGGAAACGAUGUGGGAAGGCACAGACAGCCAGGAUGUUGGCUUAGAAGCAGCCAUCAUUUAAAGAAAGCGUAAUAGCUCACUGGUCGAGUCGGCCUGCGCGGAAGAUGUAACGGGGCUAAACUGUGCACCGAAGCUGCGGCAGCGACACUAUGUGUUGUUGGGUAGGGGAGCGUUCUGUAAGCCUGCGAAGGUGGCCUGUGAGGGUUGCUGGAGGUAUCAGAAGUGCGAAUGCUGACAUAAGUAACGAUAAUGCGGGUGAAAAGCCCGCACGCCGGAAGACCAAGGGUUCCUGUCCAACGUUAAUCGGGGCAGGGUGAGUCGACCCCUAAGGCGAGGCCGAAAGGCGUAGUCGAUGGGAAACAGGUUAAUAUUCCUGUACUUGGUGUUACUGCGAAGGGGGGACGGAGAAGGCUAUGUUAGCCGGGCGACGGUUGUCCCGGUUUAAGCAUGUAGGCGGAGGUUCCAGGUAAAUCCGGUACCUUAUUAACGCUGAGGUGUGAUGACGAGGCACUACGGUGCUGAAGUAACAAAUGCCCUGCUUCCAGGAAAAGCCUCUAAGCAUCAGGUAACAUUGAAUCGUACCCCAAACCGACACAGGUGGUCAGGUAGAGAAUACCAAGGCGCUUGAGAGAACUCGGGUGAAGGAACUAGGCAAAAUGGUGCCGUAACUUCGGGAGAAGGCACGCUGAUAUGUAGGUGAAGCCCCUGCGGGUGGAGCUGAAAUCAGUCGAAGAUACCAGCUGGCUGCAACUGUUUAUUAAAAACACAGCACUGUGCAAACACGAAAGUGGACGUAUACGGUGUGACGCCUGCCCGGUGCCGGAAGGUUAAUUGAUGGGGUUAUCCGUAAGGAGAAGCUCUUGAUCGAAGCCCCGGUAAACGGCGGCCGUAACUAUAACGGUCCUAAGGUAGCGAAAUUCCUUGUCGGGUAAGUUCCGACCUGCACGAAUGGCGUAAUGAUGGCCAGGCUGUCUCCACCCGAGACUCAGUGAAAUUGAACUCGCUGUGAAGAUGCAGUGUACCCGCGGCAAGACGGAAAGACCCCGUGAACCUUUACUAUAGCUUGACACUGAACAUUGAGCCUUGAUGUGUAGGAUAGGUGGGAGGCUUUGAAGCGUGGACGCCAGUCUGCGUGGAGCCAACCUUGAAAUACCACCCUUUAAUGUUUGAUGUUCUAACGUUGGCCCCUAAUCGGGGUUGCGGACAGUGUCUGGUGGGUAGUUUGACUGGGGCGGUCUCCUCCCAAAGAGUAACGGAGGAGCACGAAGGUUAGCUAAUCCUGGUCGGACAUCAGGAGGUUAGUGCAAUGGCAUAAGCUAGCUUGACUGCGAGCGUGACGGCGCGAGCAGGUGCGAAAGCAGGUCAUAGUGAUCCGGUGGUUCUGAAUGGAAGGGCCAUCGCUCAACGGAUAAAAGGUACUCCGGGGAUAACAGGCUGAUACCGCCCAAGAGUUCAUAUCGACGGCGGUGUUUGGCACCUCGAUGUCGGCUCAUCACAUCCUGGGGCUGAAGUAGGUCCCAAGGGUAUGGCUGUUCGCCAUUUAAAGUGGUACGCGAGCUGGGUUUAGAACGUCGUGAGACAGUUCGGUCCCUAUCUGCCGUGGGCGCUGGAGAAUUGAGGGGGGCUGCUCCUAGUACGAGAGGACCGGAGUGGACGCAUCACUGGUGUUCGGGUUGUCAUGCCAAUGGCAUUGCCCGGUAGCUAAAUGCGGAAGAGAUAAGUGCUGAAAGCAUCUAAGCACGAAACUUGCCCCGAGAUGAGUUCUCCCUGAGACUUUAAGUCUCCUGAAGGAACGUUAAAGACGAUGACGUUGAUAGGUCGGGUGUGUAAGCGUAGCGAUACGUUGAGCUAACCGAUACUAAUGAACCGUGAGGCUUAACCUUACAACGCCGAAGCUGUU